AUUAAAUCUUCCUGUUCUGUUUUAACCCAAUUAUAUAUAUGGUACUUUGAAUAACCAGAAGAAAUGAUGCAGGACACGGAAAUUGCUAUGUAUGAAAACAUGUGGCGUUCACAGGCCAAGUUGGAAGCUGGAAAACAGAGAUCCGGUAGACAUCAGAGAGGAAGAGGAAGUUGCGUUCUGCUCAUUCUAGACUGUUCAGAAAGCAUGAGGGGGCAGCCUUUGAGAGAGAUGAAAAGAGGAGUCUUCACGAUACUAGAUGAGUUCUAUCAAAACCCGGGGAUGGGUGAAAAUGUCUCUGUUAUAGUGAUGGGGCACGAAACAAAAUUCCUGCAGUAUUACUCAAACCAAUAUUUGGCAAUCAAACGACACAUAGAGGAAGUGGAAUGUGGUGGACCCUCACCACUCACUGCCGCCUUUAUCUUGGCCCUCGGGGGACUGUUGGAAGGAGCAGAUACUAGCACCAUUCUUUGCGGUUUUACAUCGAAUAGGAGCAGAUCAUCCAAUUUUCUGUUUCCCAGUCUGAAAAAAUCCAAAUUACGCUUUAUUACAAACCAUAUCGGGUGUUUCUAAGGGAGGCAAAGUUUUGGAGAUUUAUGAAGCAAAGUGUUUUGGACGAUAUACCCUCCAUUACCUUUCAGCAACAUUGAUAUGCAAAGUAACAAAUGAGGAUGAAAUAGAAAGAGAGAAUUUGAGAUCCGUGGGUGAAUCUGCACUACAAUGGCAGACCUAUGACGUAGAAUCUGUACGGGUAUGGCAGACCUAUGGUGAGGACGAUUUGGUAUGUCUACAAGAUCAUAGUAUUUUUCUUAACAAGUAUCAAUUCAAAUAAGUUGAUUAUACAAUUUAAAAUAAGAGCAGAAUCACU
Saccostrea cuccullata (small rock oyster) is the source of this 865-nucleotide RNA transcript. RefSeq lists it as uncharacterized. The record is from RefSeq and is a predicted model, not a curated record. NCBI's taxonomy places the organism in Eukaryota, Metazoa, Mollusca, Bivalvia, Ostreida, Ostreidae. The transcript is spliced from 8 exons.